Molecule: non-coding RNA, 777 nt
Filed under: Brachyta interrogationis
Lineage: Eukaryota; Metazoa; Arthropoda; Insecta; Coleoptera; Cerambycidae
Source: RNAcentral
CAAAAGUUUUAUUCUAAUUUAAAAAUUAAGUACAUUUUGAUUUUACAUGUAAAUUUUAGUAUAAUUAAUAAAGAAUUUAAAUAAUUAAAAAUAGUUUUAUACAGUAAAAAAAUUUAAAUAUUAAUGAAAAUUAGAUUUAGAUAAAAUUUAUAAUAUUGACAAAAUUUGUGCCAGCAGUUGCGGUUACACAAAUAAUAUAAUUUAAUUUGUUUAGUUUUAAUUAAUUUAUAAAUUAUUAGAUUUUUAAUAUAAAUUUAUUAGGUGAAAUUUUAAUUUUAUAAAAAAAUUUAUUUUUAUUAAUGAAGUUAAGAAAUUUGUUUUAUAAACUAGGAUUAGAUACCCUAUUAUUAAUAAUAUAAAUAUAAAAAGCUAGAUUAUUAUUAGUUUAUGAUCUUUAAAUUUAAAGAUUUUGGCGGUAUUUUAGUCUAUUCAGAGGAACCUGUUCUAUAAUUGAUAGUCCACGAUAACAAUUACUUUUUUUUAGUUUACAUAUCGUCGUAGUUUGAAUAUUUUAAAAGAAAUUUAAUAUUCAGGAUUUUUUAUGAAAAUAAAUCAGAUCAAGGUGUAGCAUAUAUAAAAGAAGAAAUGGGUUACAAUAAAUUUAUUUAAAAGGAUUUAAAUUUUAAAAUUUUAAUGAAUUUGGAUUUGAUAGUAAUUUUUAUUAUUUUAUAAAAAUGAUUUAAGCUCUAAAAUAUGUACAUAUUGCCCGUCGCUUUCACUAUAAAGUGAAAUAAGUCGUAACAAAGUAGAUUUACUGGAAAGUGUAUCUAGAAAGAU